Molecule: long non-coding RNA, 920 nt
Organism: Herpailurus yagouaroundi (jaguarundi)
Lineage: Eukaryota; Metazoa; Chordata; Mammalia; Carnivora; Felidae
Exons: 2
Source: RefSeq, a predicted model, not a curated record
UAAAGAAAUAUUCGUUUAUACUUAACAACGGAGUGCAUAACUGGGGGAGGCACAAACCCCCAGGUUUUACAAAUGCAUAAACCUCCGUGGGGAGUGGCCGCCGCGUGUCAAAGGCAGAGCUGGGACUGAGAACUCAAGGGGCAAUGCCACCCACGUGUGUCCUCGUCCCAGGCCUUCCGGCAUUGUCGUCCUUUCCUGACAACCUCUCCUCCUCUUUCCCCAGGUCGGACCCCAAACAGCUCCUCUGCCAAUGGCUGUAUCUCCUACACGGCGGUGGACCUUAAUGCCAGCUCUUCCCAGGACCCGCCCGCGGGGAACACCAGGUGACUGCGUGGGGACUGCUGGUGAGAGAGACUGGGGCCACCCUGCCCAGUGGAGGAAGGCUCCCUCCGAAGAGACUGGCCACCUCCCUUGUGCCAGGCCGACCUCAGGAAUGACCCCUGUGCCUCACCGUGCCGCAGGAGGUGCACGUUCGGGUGUUCCCCACGACCACUCUCUGGCUCAGGCAUUCGCUGGAAGGACUCGCGGAACCCAAGAACGCGGUUACGCUCACGCUUCGGGUUAUCACAGUGAGAGCAUGAGACUCAGGUCAGCAGCGUGGAUGCAGAAGAGCCCCUGGGGGGCACCGGGCUGGACCGACCAGGCACCAGGUCCCAGUCGUCCCACACGGGCAGCCCCGAUUUCUCCCAGCCGUGACGUGUGAUGGCACAGCGGAGUCCCUCCAUCCUUGCCGGACCUUGGGCUGCCAGAGUUUUGGUUGCAGUAUUUAUUCCGGGGCUCCGUCGUGGUAGGGACGGCUGACCACCCACGGAGCUGACCGUCCUCUCCAGCACCUCUGUAGCUCAAAGCCCCACUGUGUUACUAUCCUUAAUUAUUUAUUAUUAUUAUUAUUAUUUUUAAUUUACAUCCAAGUAAGUUAA